Molecule: non-coding RNA, 100 nt
Organism: Coccidioides immitis RMSCC 2394
Lineage: Eukaryota; Fungi; Ascomycota; Eurotiomycetes; Onygenales; Onygenaceae
Source: Rfam
GACACUGUGGCGGAGUGGUUAACGCGAUGCCCUGCUACCCCUUUGACUCAGCAACUAGGCAUUGCCUUCGGGCGCGCAGGUUCGAAUCCUGCCGGUGUCG